UACGGUGGAUGCGAGCGUUAUCCGGAUUUAUUGGGUUUAAAGGGUGCGUAGGCGGACGCUUAAGUCAGCGGUAAAAUUGCGGGGCUCAACCUCGUCGAGCCGUUGAAACUGGGUGCCUUGAGUGGGCGAGAAGUACGCGGAAUGCGUGGUGUAGCGGUGAAAUGCAUAGAUAUCACGCAGAACUCCGAUUGCGAAGGCAGCGUACCGGCGCCCAACUGACGCUGAAGCACGAAGGCGUGGGUAUCGAACAGG
RNAcentral lists this ribosomal RNA (252 nucleotides) under uncultured bacterium. RNAcentral describes it as "partial 16S ribosomal RNA". It matches the Rfam family "Bacterial small subunit ribosomal RNA", at positions 524 to 776 of the family's 1533-position model. The record is from RNAcentral.